AUCUACGGCCAUGCCACCCUGAACAAGCUCGAUCCUGUCUGAUCUCAGAAACUAAGCAGAGUUGGGCCUGGUUAGUACUUGGAUGGAAGACCACUUAGGAAGACCAGGUGCUGUAGGCA
This 119-nucleotide ribosomal RNA is filed under the name Pteropus alecto (black flying fox). Lineage: Eukaryota; Metazoa; Chordata; Mammalia; Chiroptera; Pteropodidae. The record is from RNAcentral.